CCUACGGGAGGCAGCAGUAGGGAAUCUUCCGCAAUGGACGAAAGUCUGACGGAGCAACGCCGCGUGAGUGAUGAAGGUUUUCGGAUCGUAAAGCUCUGUUGUUAGGGAAGAACAAGUGCCGUUCGAAUAGGGCGGUACCUUGACGGUACCUAACCAGAAAGCCACGGCUAACUACGUGCCAGCAGCCGCGGUAAU
RNAcentral lists this ribosomal RNA (195 nucleotides) under uncultured bacterium. RNAcentral describes it as "partial 16S ribosomal RNA". It matches the Rfam family "Bacterial small subunit ribosomal RNA", at positions 338 to 524 of the family's 1533-position model. The record is from RNAcentral.